AGUGAACGCUGGCGGUAGGCCUAACACAUGCAAGUCGAACGGCAGCACAGGAGAGCUUGCUCUCUGGGUGGCGAGUGGCGGACGGGUGAGGAAUACAUCGGAAUCUACUCUGUCGUGGGGGAUAACGUAGGGAAACUUACGCUAAUACCGCAUACGACCUACGGGUGAAAGCAGGGGACCUUCGGGCCUUGCGCGAUUGAAUGAGCCGAUGUCGGAUUAGCUAGUUGGCGGGGUAAAGGCCCACCAAGGCGACGAUCCGUAGCUGGUCUGAGAGGAUGAUCAGCGACACUGGAACAGAGACACGGUCCAGACUCCUACGGGAGGCAGCAGUGGGGAAUAUUGGACAAUGGGCGCAAGCCUGAUCCAGCCAUACCGCGUGGGUGGAGAAGGCCUUCGGGUUGUAAAGCACUUUUGUUGAGAAAGAAAUCCAGCUGGCUAAUACCCGGUUGGGAUGACGGUACCCAAAGAAUAAGCACCGGCUAACUUCGUGCCAGCAGCCGCGGUAA
This 506-nucleotide ribosomal RNA is filed under the name uncultured bacterium. Its description in RNAcentral is "partial 16S ribosomal RNA". It matches the Rfam family "Bacterial small subunit ribosomal RNA", at positions 29 to 523 of the family's 1533-position model. The record is from RNAcentral.